AAGACACUAGUAAAAUUGAUAUUACACCGCUUUGUCAGGGCGAAAUUGCGGGUUUGACCCCCGCGUGCCUUA
Molecule: transfer RNA, 72 nt
Filed under: Epinephelus epistictus (dotted grouper)
Lineage: Eukaryota; Metazoa; Chordata; Actinopteri; Perciformes; Serranidae
Description: tRNA-Asp
Rfam family: tRNA
About the family: Transfer RNA (tRNA) molecules are approximately 80 nucleotides in length. Their secondary structure includes four short double-helical elements and three loops (D, anti-codon, and T loops).
Source: RNAcentral